RNAcentral lists this ribosomal RNA (427 nucleotides) under uncultured bacterium. RNAcentral's name for it is "bacterial SSU rRNA". It matches the Rfam family "Bacterial small subunit ribosomal RNA", at positions 355 to 774 of the family's 1533-position model. The record is from RNAcentral.
UGGGGAAUUUUGGACAAUGGGCGCAAGCCUGAUCCAGCCAUGCCGCGUGCAGGAUGAAGGCCUUCGGGUUGUAAACUGCUUUUGUACGGAACGAAAAGGUGCCUUCUAAUAAAGGGCGCUCAUGACGGUACCGUAAGAAUAAGCACCGGCUAACUACGUGCCAGCAGCCGCGGUAAUACGUAGGGUGCGAGCGUUAAUCGGAAUUACUGGGCGUAAAGCGUGCGCAGGCGGUUUUGUAAGACAGAGGUGAAAUCCCCGGGCUCAACCUGGGAACUGCCUGUGUGACUGCAAGGCUGGAGUGCGGCAGAGGGGGAUGGAAUUCCGCGUGUAGCAGUUAAAUGCGUAGAUAUGCGGAGGAACACCGAUGGCGAAGGCAAUCCCCUGGGCCUGCACUGACGCUCAUGCACGAAAGCGUGGGGAGCAAACA